RNAcentral lists this unclassified non-coding RNA (564 nucleotides) under Tinaminyssus streptopelioides. RNAcentral's name for it is "sequence contains 18S rRNA gene, ITS1, 5.8S rRNA gene, ITS2, 28S rRNA gene". The stretch from base 1 to 57 matches the Rfam family "Eukaryotic small subunit ribosomal RNA", at positions 1775 to 1831 of the family's 1831-position model. Lineage: Eukaryota; Metazoa; Arthropoda; Arachnida; Mesostigmata; Rhinonyssidae. The record is from RNAcentral.
AGAGGAAGUAAAAGUCGUAACAAGGUUUCCGUAGGUGAACCUGCGGAAGGAUCAUUAGUGAAUUAAUAUCCAUUCACGACGUCCACGGUGAAUGGUGAAGGAUGAUGACCUAAGCCGCUUGCGGAAGAGGCAUAAAACUAUAUUACGUAUGUAGUGAAAGAAUAAGUAUCACGCGGUAACUUUUUGCAUAAAGUUAGGCGUGUGUCGGUGACAACUAGGUUGUCAGCUUGACAGUUUUUAAAAGUGUAUGCUAUUGAGCAGAAAAGUUUGCAAGACUCAAUAUGGAGGAUCACUUAGUCCUUAGAGCGAUGAAAACCGUAGUAAUUUGUGGAAAUUGGUGUGAGUUGUGAAAUUUUGUGAGCAUUGUGUUUUUGAAUGAAAAUUUCAGUACAGAUGCGAAUGUAUCUAUGCUGCAUUUGUUUCAGUAUAAAAAAGUACUAAUGCGUAGUUACUAUUGCUGCAACGCAAUAGUAGAAGUUACGUUUAAUCACAAGAGUGGUGUCAACAGAAUGAGUUAACGUGUAUCUGAAAUCAAGUGUGAUUACCCCCUGAAUUUAAGCAUAU